RNAcentral lists this long non-coding RNA (263 nucleotides) under Apteryx owenii (little spotted kiwi). Its description in RNAcentral is "lncRNA (ENSAOWG00000004499.1)". Lineage: Eukaryota; Metazoa; Chordata; Aves; Apterygiformes; Apterygidae. The record is from RNAcentral.
CUAUAUUGAACAAGUCCACUUUCAAUGAAAAUGCUGUUUUAAAAUCUAUGGCAGAAUGGCAGUUUGACCCAGAAUCCACAUCGGAAUCACUCCCAGAAGGGAAAUUUGAGGAAGCAUCUGAAUCUUCCAAUAUAGAACUGACAGAAGAAGACAGCAGCUUCACCGGAUUGAAUUCAGCCAUUACUAGUGAAAUGACAUGGAUAGAUCAGAAAAUGAAGAAGGUACUUUCAUAUAACAAACAUUAAUCAAGGCCAGCCUUUUCA